This is an RNA transcript of Triticum aestivum (bread wheat), 1431 nucleotides long. It is a transcript of the gene named thiosulfate sulfurtransferase 18, with no coding region annotated. The transcript is spliced from 3 exons. The record is from RefSeq and is a predicted model, not a curated record. Lineage: Eukaryota; Viridiplantae; Streptophyta; Magnoliopsida; Poales; Poaceae.
CUAUCUUUCCAUCAGCCAAUCCACUCCACAGCCUCUGGAGACCACCUCACACAGAAGCAGAGGCCCCUUCUUCCCCGCUGCUCGAUCCUCCAUAGAUGGGCUCCCUGCGAAGCAGCACGAGCGCGGCGGUGGAGAGCGUGGACGCGGAGGCGGCGUGUGGGCUGCUGGCCUCGGAGCAGUACGGGUACGUGGACGUGCGGAUGUGGGAGGACUUCGAAAAGGGCCAUGUCGCCGGUGCACGCAACGUGCCCUACUACCUCUCCGUCACACCCCAUGGCAAGGAGCGCAACCCGGACUUCGUCGACCAGGUUGCGGCGCUCCACUCCAAGGAGGACCGGUUCCUUGUUGGCUGCCGCUCUGGGGUCCGGUCCAGGCUCGCCACCGCAGACCUCGUCGCUGCUGGGUUCGCGAACGUGAAGAACCUGCAAGGCGGUUACCUCUCCUUGCUCAAGAGUACCAGUUACCCGCAGCCGCAAGCAGCAAGCCACCAAUGAUCAAUCAAUUGAUUCUUUGGAGUUUGGAAAGUUUGUUAGUGACCUGUUUGUGUGCUAUGUAUCUAUCAUCCUUGGUCUUAACAAGAGGAAGCAAGUCCUUCAGGCAGCUGGGAUUGAAUUAAUUUCAAAGGGAAAACAAAGCAUUAUGUAUGCAGGUAUCACGAAGCCGUCUCAUGAAUCAAACGGGGCGUUGGCAGAAAUAAGAAAGGAAAAGAGAGAGGCUAAUUUGUGGGCUAUACUAAAAAGGAAGGAAAUUAAACGAGACGUGGAAGGAAUAAGGAAGAAAAAUAGAGAGGCAAACUUGUGGGCUUACUAAUAAGGAAGGAAAUCAAAGAGAUGGUGAGAAAAAUAAGAAACGAAAGGGAAAGGCUAAUAUAUGGACUAAAUUAAUAAGGAAGAGGCUAUAUAUGUUGUGUGGACGAGACUUGCCUGCUCCCCGCACGUGCGCCCAUCCGUGCUCCCGCGUACGUGGCUUGAUUUGAUUGGAACAAAAUAAGACCCGGCCCCAUCCCCUUAAAAUCAGGGGGAGAUCAUGUGAAGUGCGUGUCUGCCUUGUUCACUCGCGGUUACCCGCAUCUCCUUAGCCGCAUCCAUCACUUUCUCAUCUCGACAUAGUGUCUCCCUCUCCCCAUUCGUGUUGGCCUUAUCUACUUCUUCUUCUACAAGCAAAAAAUAUGUUUCUUCCUAUUCAGUUCUUCAAUGCAGAUGUAUGGUGCACAUAUAAAUACAUCGCUACGAUGAGGUAUAGACUUUUCCAUAAGAUGGACCAACCUCCUAAAUAAUUUUAAGGUUAUUAAUGCAUGGCAUUAACAUGUGGCCACGUGGAAUCGAGGUUAAUUAAUUACUCCCACCAUCACACAAUACAGUUGUGCAUUGUUUUCUAAGGGCAACUCCAAUUACCCGCAUCAAGCCAGACACAUCAAACAUCCGUGGACAC